Molecule: non-coding RNA, 21 nt
Filed under: Caenorhabditis elegans
Lineage: Eukaryota; Metazoa; Nematoda; Chromadorea; Rhabditida; Rhabditidae
Source: RNAcentral
UGGGAUACGAAUACCAAAUUC